AGUCUAUGGUGUAGGCACUUCCAAAGCAUUAACUUGUAGUGUUCACAUGCUUCGUAUAGGGAUUCACCUUUAUAUUGUUUGAAGUUGGUGAUUUCUCGCCUAAGCU
This is a small nucleolar RNA of Gossypium raimondii (Peruvian cotton), 106 nucleotides long. It matches the Rfam family "Plant small nucleolar RNA R71". Rfam says of the family: R71 is a member of the C/D box family of snoRNAs containing the C (UGAUGA) and D (CUGA) box motifs. Multiple nearly identical copies of this snoRNA have been identified in Arabidopsis, and it is thought to function as a 2'-O-ribose methylation guide for 18S ribosomal RNA. The record is from Rfam. NCBI's taxonomy places the organism in Eukaryota, Viridiplantae, Streptophyta, Magnoliopsida, Malvales, Malvaceae.